UACGGGGGGGGCAAGCGUUGUUCGGAAUUACUGGGCGUAAAGGGCUCGUAGGCGGCCAACUAAGUCGGAUGUGAAAUCCCCAGGCUUAACCUGGGAACUGCAUCCGAUACUGGAUGGCUUGAAUCCGGGAGAGGGAUGCAGAAUUCCAGGUGUAGCGGUGAAAUGCGUAGAUAUCUGGAGGAACACCGGUGGCGAAGGCGGCAUCCUGGACCGGCAUUGACGCUGAAUAGCGAAAGCCAGGGGAGCAAACGGG
RNAcentral lists this ribosomal RNA (253 nucleotides) under uncultured bacterium. RNAcentral describes it as "partial 16S ribosomal RNA". It matches the Rfam family "Bacterial small subunit ribosomal RNA", at positions 524 to 776 of the family's 1533-position model. The record is from RNAcentral.